AAAUAUUUGGGAACAUUUAACCAUCAUCAUCAUCAUCAACAACAAUUUAACAACAACGACAACAAAAACAUUACCAUUUCGGAUUUGUAUAUUGUAUUCUUUUGAUGAUCAUUCAUUUCAUCAUUUUUCUUGUUCAACCCAACCACCAGGACGAUGUCUAAGUAUAAAACGACGAAUUUCAUCAUAGAUAAAUAUUAAUAUUGAAAAUGGUAUCGCUGGUAACCACCAUGUGAAUCUAUAUUAAAUGAUAUAAUCGAAGAAGAACUGGCAUACCCGGACAAUAUGAUAGAAAUGCGGCUAAAACUGUUUCGAAAACUAGGCCAAAAUUUAAA
Dermatophagoides farinae (American house dust mite) is the source of this 332-nucleotide non-coding RNA. NCBI's taxonomy places the organism in Eukaryota, Metazoa, Arthropoda, Arachnida, Sarcoptiformes, Pyroglyphidae. The record is from RefSeq and is a predicted model, not a curated record.